UACGUAGGGGGCAAGCGUUGUCCGGAAUCAUUGGGCGUAAAGAGCGUGUAGGCGGCCCGGUAAGUCUGUUGUGAAAGUCCAGGGCUCAACCCUGGAAAGCCGAUGGAUACUGCCGGGCUAGAGUUCGGAAGAGGCGAGUGGAAUUCCUGGUGUAGCGGUGGAAUGCGCAGAUAUCAGGAGGAACACCUAUAGCGAAGGCAGCUCGCUGGGACGACACUGACGCUGAGACGCGAAAGCGUGGGGAGCAAACAGG
RNAcentral lists this ribosomal RNA (253 nucleotides) under uncultured bacterium. Its description in RNAcentral is "partial 16S ribosomal RNA". It matches the Rfam family "Bacterial small subunit ribosomal RNA", at positions 524 to 776 of the family's 1533-position model. The record is from RNAcentral.